Carassius auratus (goldfish) is the source of this 561-nucleotide long non-coding RNA. RefSeq lists it as uncharacterized. The record is from RefSeq and is a predicted model, not a curated record. NCBI's taxonomy places the organism in Eukaryota, Metazoa, Chordata, Actinopteri, Cypriniformes, Cyprinidae. The transcript has 3 exons.
AGCCCUCACCGGCUACGGAUUGUGUCUGCGUGUUUCAAUGAAAAUUCGCUGAUUUAGAGUAUGACCACUACAAGUUUGCCGAGUGCUGUUUGUUGUGCUGAGAAUAUUGGCCUGGGAAUGUAUGAGUAAAAACCAGACGGAAUAAGGCGAUUGCUACAGUAUUACAACUAAACAAGCUCUUGGUUCGACGCUGCGGUCUGUGUCCAUACAGGAGGACCGUCAUAUGCCAUCUUGGCCACUGUUUUUCCUGUGCCCUGUUUUUAGUAUUCAGUUGUGUGUGUGUGUGUGUGUGUGUGUGUGUGUGUGGGAGGAAGGCCCACUGUGUUGCUCAUUAGUCUUCAUCUGUGUGCGUUGCUGUAUGUUUUAUGUUUGUAUCUUGGGCCAUUGGGUUAGUGCAAUAUCCUGGGACAGGGAAUAACAAUUUUGUUGUGUGGUCACUGGUUUGCUGAGUGUAAAUUUAUUUUGUUUUCUGUGCAUAUGAUUUGUGAUGUGCCUUAUUUAUUCUGUAUUUGCUGAUUGAGGAUGCAGUUCUACUCUAUAUGUACUCAAGAUUAACAGGAU